AAAAAGACUGCUGUUCCAGAACAUCUAUACACACUGUUCAAAUUGUUGGCAACCAUCCUAUGCUACGAUUCCAUGCAAAAGCUGCGUCAAUGUAGCAUACUGCUCAGAAACUUGUAAAGACAAAGCCUGGGAUAAUUACCAUGAGGUGGAAUGCACACUUAUGGUAUUCUUGCUUUGUUUUGAACUCAAUGAAGAUAUUUUCCUAACCAUGAGAAUGGCAAUAAUGGCCACGCAAAAAGGCAAAAAAAUACAUUUAUUGAAACAAGAAUUGAUGACAAUUGAUCAAAACACAGAUAUUUGACAACUACUUUAUGUUACCUUACGCAGCAAUUUCGAAAAAACUGAGACAAGAACGUUUCAAAGAGUGGAAAUUCAAUUGUGAAUGUCUACGCUGUGCAAAAAGUUGGCCCACGAUUGAACACAUACCUAGCUUCAGGGACCAAGCAUUAACUCGCCAGGUUAAAACCACACGACUUUGGCGAACAGAUAAGGACUGAUACCUACUCACUGAAAACAUUGAAUAAACUGACCUACAUGGUUGAAACAGUUCAUAAACUGGUACGGAAACCUUGCAGAGAAUUGAUGAUGAUAGUCAUGCUCAAAUCUUUGUAUGACAAAACCAUUUUCGAUUAUGAACCGGCAGAUCAACUCGAGAUAGACAUACUACAAACAGCCAAUUUAUUCUCUCAAAACUUAUACAGAUAAAACGAUACAACCUAUCUUUGUGAGUCAUUUUUCUUUCUACUUUGUAUGUGUAUUAGGGUGGUCCGUAUUUGGGCGUUUUACAAAUUUUCAU
Neodiprion fabricii is the source of this 796-nucleotide long non-coding RNA. RefSeq lists it as uncharacterized. The transcript has 3 exons. Lineage: Eukaryota; Metazoa; Arthropoda; Insecta; Hymenoptera; Diprionidae. The record is from RefSeq and is a predicted model, not a curated record.